Molecule: ribosomal RNA, 261 nt
Filed under: uncultured prokaryote
Description: partial 16S ribosomal RNA
Rfam family: Bacterial small subunit ribosomal RNA
Source: RNAcentral
UACGUAGGUGGCAAGCGUUGUCCGGAUUUACUGGGCGUAAAGGGAGCGUAGGCGGAUUUUUAAGUGAGAUGUGAAAUACCCGGGCUUAACUUGGGUGCUGCAUUUCAAACUGGAAGUCUAGAGUGCAGGAGAGGAGAGUGGAAUUCCAUGUGUAGCGGUGAAAUGCGUAGAGAUAUGGAGGAACACCAGUGGCGAAGGUGACUCUCUGGUCUGUAACUGACGCUGAGGAGCGAAAGCGUGGGUAGCGAACAGGAUUAGAUA